This 362-nucleotide long non-coding RNA is filed under the name Panax ginseng (ginseng). RNAcentral describes it as "long non-coding RNA (PGIN_LNC011246)". The record is from RNAcentral. Lineage: Eukaryota; Viridiplantae; Streptophyta; Magnoliopsida; Apiales; Araliaceae.
CCAAUCCAACAAACAUGUUGAAAUUCAAAUAUUAGGUUGUGGUGUGAAGGAGAGAAACUUGAGGGUAACUAGGCGCGAAUGAAAAACCAAUUCAUAUUCCUUGAUAUAAGUUCGACUCAAGAAAAACUCCAUUGAUGAUCAACAUUUUAGAUGAUCAAAGAGCCAUCUUUUCAGUGAAACUAAUAAUCAAGAACCAUUUUUUCAAUUCCUCCAUCCUCUGUUUCUCAUCCACAGCUCAACCAUUCCAAUCCCUCCCCGACCUCUCAACAUGCAUUGCAUCAUUACAAUCAUGUGCCCGCAAAAAACUUGUCCCAGAAGGCCAACAAUUUCACUCCUACAUGCUCGUCAAUGGCUUCCUUCUC